UGAGUUGAUCGGGCGAUCGCUGGCGAAGAAUACUUCGCGGGAGGAAAGUCCGGGCUUCGCAGGGCAAGGUGGUCGGUAACUCCGACCGAUCGUGAGAUCAGGGCAAGUGCAACAGAAAGUAAACCGCCGAACGGGUUUUUUACUGCGUGGUAAGGGUGAAACGGUGAGGUAAGAGCUCACCAGCGUGCGGGGUGACUCGUGCGGCUGGGUAAACCCCUCCUGAAGCAAGGCUAAACAGAAAGCAGUGGCUGCUCGCCGCGUUAUGACUUUCGGGUAAGCUGCUCGAGCCCAUCGGCAACGGUGGGCCUAGAUAAAUGAUCGUCCUAGGCGUUUACGCCAACGACAAAACCCGGCUUACGAUCAACUCGUUUU
Molecule: RNase P RNA, 372 nt
Filed under: bacterium
Lineage: Bacteria
Description: RNase P RNA component class A
Rfam family: Bacterial RNase P class A
About the family: Ribonuclease P (RNase P) is a ubiquitous endoribonuclease, found in archaea, bacteria and eukarya as well as chloroplasts and mitochondria. Its best characterised activity is the generation of mature 5'-ends of tRNAs by cleaving the 5'-leader elements of precursor-tRNAs. Cellular RNase Ps are ribonucleoproteins.
Source: RNAcentral